This 76-nucleotide transfer RNA is filed under the name uncultured Thermomicrobiales bacterium. RNAcentral's name for it is "tRNA-Arg-TCG". It matches the Rfam family "tRNA". From Rfam's summary of the family: Transfer RNA (tRNA) molecules are approximately 80 nucleotides in length. Their secondary structure includes four short double-helical elements and three loops (D, anti-codon, and T loops). Lineage: Bacteria; Pseudomonadati; Thermomicrobiota; Thermomicrobia; Thermomicrobiales. The record is from RNAcentral.
GCCCUCGUAGCUCAACGGACAGAGCACUUGGCUUCGGACCAAGGGGUUGGGGGUUCGAGUCCCUCCGAGGGUACCC